ACACUCGCGCGAUUGGCUGGAAAUUUUUUCAUUGUGUUGGAACUCACUCAAAACCAUUUUUGAUUGGCUAACUCACUUGGAAAUCACCGCGGAAACUAUUGACAAAAGUAUAAAAGUGUCGAUAGUGGUGACCAAAUACUGGAGCAGCACCUAGAAAAUGUACCAAGAAAUGCCACAUACAUUUCAAAGACCAUCCAGAAUCAAAUGAUGUCAACUGUUGGUGCUCAUAUUUUAAAUAAUUUAUCUCAGGAAAUGAAAGAUAGUAAGUAUUUUUCUGUAAUGGCAGAUGAAGCGGCUGAUAUAGCAAACAAAGAAAAUCUUUCUGUUGUGAUUAGAUUUCUCGACUCAACCAAAAACAUCAGAGGAGAAUUUAUUGGAUUUUAUAUUUGUAAGGAGGGAACAACAGGAGAGGCCAUCAAAGACCUUUAAACUGCAGCUGUAGUAGACUUAGGAUUGAUGAUGGAAGACUGUCGUGGCCAAUGUUAUGAUGGCGCUGGCAAUAUGGCUGGACGACUUAAUGGAGCCUCCUCGUUAAUCAGAGCAGAACAUGAGAAGGCAAUUUUUGUCCAUUGCAUGAAUCACCAGCUGAAUUUGUGUAUUGCCAAUACCUGCCAAAUACCAAAUGUCAGAAACAUGAUGGAUGUUGUGCGAAAGCUUUUUGAUUUUUUUCACAACUCUCCCAAGCGACAAGAACAUUUAGAAUUCAAGAUCAUAGAACUUUUGCAAAAAAAAAAAAAAAAAAAAAAAAAACACACACACUGCUUUAAUUAAUGUAUGCCGCACCCGAUGGCUUGAAAGGAUAGAUGCUAUGGACCGAAUAGUUGAGCUUCUCCAUCCAGUCACAGCUACACUAGAAGAUAUCUCAAUGAACAGACACAAGCACGAAAAUACCAACUGGAAUCCUACCAGCAGACAAGAUGCCCAAUCAUUACUUAAUGCUAUCAACUUUUCCUUUAUUGUUGCUAUUGUUAUUGUCAGACAUAUUUUGGCACUAAGCCACUUACAGUAAAGCUGCAAAGUAAAGCUAUGGAUAUCCUGAAAGCUAAAGAAGAACUUGCUCUUCUGAUAUCAGUUCUCACAGAAAUGAGUAAUGACAUUGAUGGCACACACCCAUGAACUGUACCAGGAUGCAGUGACUAUCGCAAGACAAGUAGAUGUACAACCAGCUCAGAGACAGACACAUAGACCCAAUGCUCCUGCUUCAAAUCCUGAAGACUAUUACAAGAUAAAUCAGACCAGAGUUUUCCUAGACCAUGUACUCGAGCAGCUCGGUUCUAGAUUCAAGGAUGAUGUAUUUAUCUGCUACAAAGCUCAAAUGGUUUACAAACAUUUCCCUGGGCUCCAGAAGCUGCAGUUUCAAAGGAUAAAAAAGGGGAGUAUUUUUCAAAUUAUAUAUAUAUUUUAUAAUCAUUUAGUACUUCUCAUUUUUUUAACUUGAUAUUAAUGUUGUAUUUUUCUCCAGAGCUCCAGUGGCUGCAGUUCCCAAGGAUGAAAAAGGGGAGUUUUUUUCAAAUUAUAUUCUUUUUAUAAUCAUUCAGUACUUCUCUCUUUUAAACUAUGAUAACAAUGUUGGAUUUUUCUCCAGAGCUCCAGUUAUUGCAGUCCCCAAGGAUGAAAAAGGGGAGUUUUUAUUCAAAUUAUAUUGUCUAUAAUUUGUACAUAUCUUUUGUAUAUGACAUAUGUAUGAUAUUAAUAUUGGAUUUUUUUUAUUAUUAUCUUGAAAACUCCUGGACCAAGGACCAACCACAGGCUUGCCAUCUAUAAGUACCAUUUUUCCUUCUUCUGCUCAAAGACAGUUAGUAGGCAGCUAUAUUCAACAUAGACCAGUGGCACCGGUUUGGAUACCAGAUAUUUUUUUGUAGAGCAAGGUGUUCCAUGUACCACCUUCAACAAAAUAAAACUUUUUUUGCCUUUA
Long non-coding RNA from Nematostella vectensis (starlet sea anemone), 1915 nucleotides. RefSeq lists it as uncharacterized. NCBI's taxonomy places the organism in Eukaryota, Metazoa, Cnidaria, Anthozoa, Actiniaria, Edwardsiidae. The record is from RefSeq and is a predicted model, not a curated record. The transcript has 2 exons.